AGUGAACGCUGGCGGUAGGCCUAACACAUGCAAGUCGAACGGCAGCACAGUAAGAGCUUGCUCUUACGGGUGGCGAGUGGCGGACGGGUGAGGAAUACAUCGGAAUCUACUUUUUCGUGGGGGAUAACGUAGGGAAACUUACGCUAAUACCGCAUACGACCUACGGGUGAAAGCAGUGGAUCUUCGGACCUUGCGCGAUUGAAUGAGCCGAUGUCGGAUUAGCUAGUUGGCGGGGUAAAGGCCCACCAAGGCGACGAUCCGUAGCUGGUCUGAGAGGAUGAUCGGCCACACUGGAACUGAGACACGGUCCAGACUCCUACGGGAGGCAGCAGUGGGGAAUAUUGGACAAUGGGCGCAAGCCUGAUCCAGCCAUACCGCGUGGGUGAAGAAGGCCUUCGGGUUGUAAAGACCUUUUGUUGGGAAAGAAAAGCAGCAGGUUAAUACCCCGCUGUUCUGACGGUACCCAAAGAAUAAGCACCGGCUAACUUCGUG
Molecule: ribosomal RNA, 492 nt
Filed under: uncultured bacterium
Lineage: Bacteria
Description: partial 16S ribosomal RNA
Rfam family: Bacterial small subunit ribosomal RNA
Source: RNAcentral